This 192-nucleotide ribosomal RNA is filed under the name uncultured Syntrophaceae bacterium. Its description in RNAcentral is "partial 16S ribosomal RNA". It matches the Rfam family "Bacterial small subunit ribosomal RNA", at positions 1191 to 1382 of the family's 1533-position model. Lineage: Bacteria; Pseudomonadati; Thermodesulfobacteriota; Syntrophia; Syntrophales; Syntrophaceae. The record is from RNAcentral.
CCUCAUGGCCUUUAUGCCCAGGGCUACACACGUGCUACAAUGGGUGGUACAAAGAGAUGCAAGUCUCGCAAGAGCAAGCAAACCUCAAAAGCCAUCCUCAGUUCGGAUUGGAGUCUGCAACUCGACUCCAUGAAGUCGGAAUCGCUAGUAAUCGCGGAUCAGCACGCCGCGGUGAAUACGUUCCCGGGCCUU